Molecule: non-coding RNA, 30 nt
Filed under: Mus musculus (house mouse)
Lineage: Eukaryota; Metazoa; Chordata; Mammalia; Rodentia; Muridae
Source: RNAcentral
UCAUGAGGUUCCUGUAGCAGCUUGCAGCUU